RNAcentral lists this ribosomal RNA (808 nucleotides) under Triticum aestivum (bread wheat). RNAcentral's name for it is "partial small subunit ribosomal RNA". The record is from RNAcentral. Lineage: Eukaryota; Viridiplantae; Streptophyta; Magnoliopsida; Poales; Poaceae.
GCGGCAGAGCCUCGUAGCGUGCGGUCGUUCGGGUAGCGGAGGGUGGCGUCGUGUCGCUGGAGUCGUUGAGGACGGUCCUACCAGCGCAAUUCCAAGGUGGUCAUGGUCCACCAGCCCUCCCCGGACGGCUGCGGCUGGCUCCUCGUAGGGUCCUAGAUGGCGUACUUCGAGACCCGGUGGUUGCUCCAGGCGCGGUUUAGGUUAAAGACCACUCCUGUACUAAGUUUAAACCUUCGGAGAGCUCCUACGCACUUCUUCUCGUUGCCGGUCUAGGAGCGGAAGUUGCUCUAACAACUCUUCUUGGGGUGGUGUUAGUUCUUGAAACCAUAGACCGACACAAUGGUUUCGUCCUGACCUAUGGUGUUGUACAUGUUCCUCAUGGCACUGUGGUGGGAGUUACCGCGUCACCUCGUCUACAUGUGCCUCUACCGAAGGGCGGUGGCACAGUCUAGGGGGACGUAGGUCUAGUAGUUCUGUCGGUGACAGGUGAAGUUGUAGACGUUCGCACUAUUGUGAUUCGUCAAAGUGUUCAGCCUGUAGUCCAAGGGCGACCAGAUGGUCUUCCAGUCCGGUGAUUGGUCCUUCGACUUCUGCUGGAAGUUCCGUAGCUACACUAUUGGGUAGGGCAGGUAUUCGACAUUCGGACAGGUAAUACUUCAUAGUAACGAUCAAGUAUAAUUAUCAUAACUAUACGUUGUAAAAUAAGAAGAAUUAAGAUCUAUCGUCAAGGUGCAGCACGGGAAAUACCCUAACUGUUGGGAACAAAUUAGAAACAUUGUAAACACCAAUAUACUGACGGACUAUGCUC